AUUGAACGCUAGCGGGAUGCUUUACACAUGCAAGUCGAACGGCAGCGCGGACUUCGGUCUGGCGGCGAGUGGCGAACGGGUGAGUAAUGUAUCGGAACGUGCCCAGUAGCGGGGGAUAACUACGCGAAAGCGUAGCUAAUACCGCAUACGCCCUACGGGGGAAAGCAGGGGAUCGUAAGAACUUGCACUAUUUGAGCGGCCGAGAUCGGAUUAGCUAGUUGGUGAGGUAACGGCUCACCAAGGCGACGAUCCGUAGCUGGUUUGAGAGGAGGACCAGCCACACUGGAACUGAGACACGGCCCAGACUCCUCCGGGAGGCAGCAGUGGGGAAUUUUGGACAAUGGGGGCAACCCUGAUCCAGCCAUCCCGCGUGUGCGAUGAAGGCCUUCGGGUUGUAAAGCACUUUUGGCAGGAAAGAAACGUCGCGGGCUAAUACCCCGUGGAACUGACGGUACCUGCAGAAUAAGCACCGGCUAACUACGUG
This 484-nucleotide ribosomal RNA is filed under the name uncultured bacterium. Its description in RNAcentral is "partial 16S ribosomal RNA". It matches the Rfam family "Bacterial small subunit ribosomal RNA", at positions 30 to 507 of the family's 1533-position model. The record is from RNAcentral.